This is an RNA transcript of Arabidopsis lyrata subsp. lyrata, 1849 nucleotides long. It is a transcript of the gene named UDP-glycosyltransferase TURAN, with no coding region annotated. The transcript is spliced from 14 exons. The record is from RefSeq and is a predicted model, not a curated record. Lineage: Eukaryota; Viridiplantae; Streptophyta; Magnoliopsida; Brassicales; Brassicaceae.
UUUUUGGUCUUGUUUUCUAAAAUCGUUUUCAUGUAUUCUCUUGGAUUUUGUAAACUAGCUAGCUUCUCAUGGAUCAGUAGAGUCUGAUACAUAGUGCUAAUGGUUUAACUUUGUAAUGAGAAGAUCUUUAGGGACGAUGGGUAAAAGAGGAAGGGCUUGUGUAGUGGUACUUGGAGAUCUUGGUCGAAGUCCUCGGAUGCAAUAUCACGCUCUUUCUCUUGCUCGUCAGGCAUCAUUUCAAGUAGACAUUGUUGCAUAUGGAGGUUCUAUACCCCAUGAAGCUGUUCUAAAUCACCCAUCGAUCCACAUCCCUACCAUGGCGCAGCCACGAUUCCUUCAGCUCUUUAUCCUGUAACUCUCUUGCUCAAGGCAUUUAUUCAGCUUACAAUGCUUCUCUGGUUUCUUUUCGUAAAAGUACCAGCGCCUGACACUUUCUUGGUCCAGAAUCCUCCUUCCGUUCCAACCCUAAUUGCUGUUAAGUGGGCGAGUUCAUGGAGACGUGCAGCGUUUGUUGUAGAUUGGCAUAAUUUUGGAUAUACAUUGUUGGCAUUGUCUUUAGGAAGAAACAAUAUGUUUGUAUCCUUAUACCGCUGGUUUGAGAAUCAUUAGGGAAAGAUGGCAACAGGUUCACUAAAAGCAAUGCAACAUGAACUGGAUCAGAAUUGGGGAGUGAGAGCCCAAGUGUUAUAUGAUCAGCCUCCUGAGUUUUUCCAUCCCGCUUUACUUGAAGAAAGGCAUGAGUUGUUUUGCCGAGUGAAAAAUGAUCUUUGCCAUCCAAUUAGUAGAGAGUUGGAAAACCAAGAGCUUAAUGAAACCCUUUUUACUACCAAAAUUUAUACUGACAUCUCCCUGAAGCAAAACAGACCAGCUCUUGUUCUGAGCAGUACAAGCUGGACCCCUGAUGAAAAUUUUGGUAUCCUACUAGAAGCUGCAGUAAUGUAUGAUCGGCGUGUGGCUGCAAGAUCCAAAGUAAUUGAAACAGCUGAAAUUUAAGAAGAGCAGCACCUUUAUCCCAAUUUGUUGUUCAUCAUUACAGGUAAAGGACCUGAAAAGGAGAUGUACGAGGAGAAUAUCAAAUGCUUAAACCUCAGACAUGUGGCAUUCCGUACAAUGUGGCUCCCAGCUGAAGAUUACCCAUUGCUUUUAGGUUCUGCAGAUCUCGGUGUCUGCUUACACACUUCCUCAUCGGGUUUAGACCUUCCCAUGAAGGUUGUUGAUAUGUUUGGAUGUGGCCUCCCAGUUUGCUCGGUUUCCUACUCAUGCAUUCAAGAACUCGUUAAAGAUGGAAAGAAUGGACUUUUGUUUUCAUCUUCAUCAGAAUUAGCAGAUCAAUUAUUGAUUCUCUUCAAGGGUUUUCCCGGGAACUGUGAUGCCCUAAUGUCGCUUAAAGUGGGUGCAAUGGAGACUGGUUCUUCGGGUCGAUGGGCUACAGAGUGGGAAGAUUGUGCAAAACCUUUGAUCACUCAGGAAAAUCCGUCGGCCCUCUCUGUAUCUCACACUCACACACACAUACUUUUAUUGGGCUAUUUCUCAUAAGAUGUCUCAUGUCUGAUCUAUGCAGGUCGUGUCUCAAAUAGCAGAUUCAUGAAAGAGAAGACUCAAAAUUGAUGGUCUUGAGAGUUUCUCACAACUGCUUUUGUAGAUCCAAAUUUUUGUACACAAUCAUAUAGAUUACAAGAUUGUCUCGAAAUAUUGUCAAAAUCUGAUUCCGAAAUGAUUUGGCAGGAGUCUUUGUAUGAAUGAGUAAAUGAUAUCAAAAUCUCAAUUAACCAAAAGUAAGGCCAAGAAAAUUUUCUGAAAGGCUCAAAGCAAAUUCCACAGUUUAAUGCUUAAACAAUUAAAAAAAAAA